This 352-nucleotide unclassified non-coding RNA is filed under the name Medranoa parrasana. RNAcentral describes it as "Xylothamia parrasana partial external transcribed spacer". Lineage: Eukaryota; Viridiplantae; Streptophyta; Magnoliopsida; Asterales; Asteraceae. The record is from RNAcentral.
UGUGUUGCAUACCUGAUCAAUGGCAUCGUCUUGAUCAAAAGUGUGUAUUUUUCGUUUGGCAAUGCACCUGCAUUGUCGGAUGAACCACGUAGCAUCCUCUUUGAUCCAUACAGUUGACGUGCUUUCGUUGAUUGUUUGGCCCAUUGAGUGGUGACUCGGUCUCUCGGAUAUGGAAGCCAAAGUGGGCAUAGGGUCGCAAGAUCUCUUUAUUGUCCUCAUUGAGCGCUCUCACUUCUCUUACACGACCGCCUUUCACGUAUGGCACGUCCCAGCGUGUUUGGCUACGUCGAAGAGGAAUGUUGGGCGUUCUUGCUUUUCUUACACGACUGCCUUUCACGUAUGGCACGUCCCA